CACCAUUCAAACCUUGGCUUUUGUUUAAGUCGGUUUGGUUUUGGAAGUAGACUUGAACAUUGAUUUUCUAGUCUCUUUUGUAAUGUAUUGACGAAAUUGCCUUUACUAGCCUCUUAGUUGUAGUAAAAGAAUCUCAUUCUCUCUCUCAACUUCAAGAUGGUUUGGUUUUUGGGCGGCCUGCUUUUUUGAGCAUGUAUAUGCUCUCUCAA
Molecule: unclassified non-coding RNA, 209 nt
Filed under: Ascomycota sp.
Lineage: Eukaryota; Fungi; Ascomycota
Also listed under: 1 other name
Description: partial internal transcribed spacer 2
Source: RNAcentral